Molecule: long non-coding RNA, 811 nt
Filed under: Cyanistes caeruleus (blue tit)
Lineage: Eukaryota; Metazoa; Chordata; Aves; Passeriformes; Paridae
Description: lncRNA (ENSCCEG00000012161.1)
Source: RNAcentral
AUUUUAUUCCAGGGCACUUUGGUGGGAACCCUUCAAAACUUUCAAUUCAGAACAGCACCUAUGUCAUAAGCACUUCAUAAAGUCCCGAUUAAAUUGCCCCAUUCUGUGGGACACAGCUACAGCCUUGAAGGUAAUCAUUUGCUUCAAUGCUUUGCUGAAUUAGGAUGCACUUUGAGCCAAGCAUGGGCCUAAAAUCUAUGUCAAACAGCCUUAAUAUUUAGCAGGCCAUGCUGUUUGUCACACAAAAUCUUUUGCCAUUUAAGUUGUGGUAUUGGUUUGAGCUUUGGAAAAAAGGGUCUUCUAGCAUGUUCUUCCAAAAAUGAUAUCCAAGAACACUGUCUGGAGGCAGUGUGGGGGAUUAUUUCAGAAGCAGACUUCUGCAGAAUGUGAUAUAUUUCUUAUUUCUCUCGAUCUGCUCUCAGGUCGUGCUGCUGCUGUUGUGCGUCUGAGUCCCAGCGCUGGAAAUGAAAAGGUUCAGAGAAUCCUGACACCAAGGAGAGGCACAAAGCUGCACUCUGCUCAUGACAGCUUCUCUUUACACCACAGCUUUUCCUCUGAGCAUGUUCCAGUGUCUCUGCACUCCCAGUCCACCUGCAGCAGCCAGGGCCAGGCUCUCGUAGCCUGGCUCUCCUGCUGGGAGCUUCUCAGAGCACGAGCCGCCUCCUUUCCAGCAGAUCGCAGGUGUUCUCCACAUGGCGUGAGCAGUUUUUUUACAGAGUGAAGAUCUUUCUGUUACUGGAUCUCAGCAGCACCAGCUGGGAUUGCUUAAAGAGAUGCCAUGGUAAGAUUCACUGCAAAGCACAGGUGGAGA